RNAcentral lists this long non-coding RNA (903 nucleotides) under Pan troglodytes (chimpanzee). RNAcentral describes it as "long non-coding RNA NONPTRT003713". The record is from RNAcentral. Lineage: Eukaryota; Metazoa; Chordata; Mammalia; Primates; Hominidae.
CCAGUCAUGUGGCUAGCUGGAAAAUGAAACGGGCUUGGUGAAAAUUUGCUCUAGGUCCCAGACUUGGCAAAUGAUGCAAGAUUUAACUCAUACAGUCCAGCUUCCAAGCCCACACUCUUAACCACUGUACUCUCAGUCAGGGAUUGAGUGGGCAAGCACUGUGGGCUGCAGACACCAAGCUCCACCAUGAUUCCCCCUCCACUCUCAGAGGCUCCAUCCAGCUGGCAGGCUCACAGCACUGCAGCCCAGCAUCUGAAGUGGUACUGUCCCUAGGCUGAUGACUGUCACAUUUUUACUGGGGCCAAAACUUUCCUCCGAGAUUCAGAUGUGUGUCACCAACUAGAGAGCAGGCUUGGAAUUUAAAAAUAAAGUUUUCACAAAACGGGGAGUGUCCGCUGGGGAAAUCUCUAAGAUGAAAGCCACUUUGUCACCUUCUUCCUUCCUGCUUGGGACGCACAUGUAAUGCUUGGCACUGCUCCCCCCAUCUUGUCACCAUGAGAUGACAGCCAAGAGGAGAAAAAGCCAAAACAGAGAGGAUGACAGUGAAGAAAGAGGAAAAGUGGUUAAACCUCACAUGACAUCAUGGAAACCUGAACAAAGGCACAGAACCACAGAUUUCCCAAUUCUUGCGAAGGAAGCAAUUCAUGUUCCUUCUGGGCGAAGCUGCUGCUGGUUGGGUAUUUAUCCUUCUAAAGCUGAAGCAUCCUGAGUAAUGCAGUGCAAAUCAGAAAUUGAAAUAAAUGAAGCACGUCUUGAGCAGUGUCAUGGCAAAGGAGUCUGGCUUGUAGAAUGUCUGUCUCUGGAAAUUUGGAGAGCUGGGAGCAGGAGAUGUGAUCGUGGUUCACAACUGCAGGAUAAUGUCACACCAGAAUAAUGAUAGGAUGUGUAUGUGAGGACAUACCC